GAUGAGGCAGAUGCUGAGAAGACGUUCAGGAGACUUGUCUUCUUCAUCAUCUUCCAAGAAGUACACGCGAUCAGCAAGCACAAAACUCUACUGAUCAUUAAUCGGGAGGGAUCUUAUAAUUCCUUGCCUGGAAUAAUUAAUAUGGAUGGCUAUGGCAGCCUUUCUUGGCUAAGUGUUGUCUUGUCUUGUAAUGUACAGGGAAUGUUAUUUCAAAGGAGGCUACAGCUUGCUUUUUUGCACUAAACAUUUGUUAUGCUUUUCUUCUCCUUUGUUGGCUAAAG
Molecule: unclassified non-coding RNA, 281 nt
Filed under: Hevea brasiliensis (rubber tree)
Lineage: Eukaryota; Viridiplantae; Streptophyta; Magnoliopsida; Malpighiales; Euphorbiaceae
Source: RNAcentral